Molecule: ribosomal RNA, 253 nt
Filed under: uncultured bacterium
Lineage: Bacteria
Description: partial 16S ribosomal RNA
Rfam family: Bacterial small subunit ribosomal RNA
Source: RNAcentral
GACGUAGGGGGCGAGCGUUGUCCGGAUUCAUUGGGCGUAAAGAGCGCGCAGGCGGCCAAGCAAGUCGGUUGUGAAAUCCCGUGGCUCAACCACGGAACCGCAUCCGAAACUGCUCGGCUAGAGGUAGGUAGGGGAGAUCGGAAUUCCUGGUGUAGCGGUGAAAUGCGCAGAUAUCAGGAGGAACACCGGUGGCGAAGGCGGAUCUCUGGGCCUUACCUGACGCUCAGGCGCGAAAGCUAGGGGAGCGAACAGG